Molecule: ribosomal RNA, 366 nt
Filed under: uncultured bacterium
Lineage: Bacteria
Description: partial 16S ribosomal RNA
Rfam family: Bacterial small subunit ribosomal RNA
Source: RNAcentral
CCUACGGGAGGCAGCAGUGAGGAAUAGUGGUCAAUGGGCGCGAGCCUGAACCAGCCAAGUAGCGUGAAGGAUGACUGCCCUACGGGUUGUAAACUUCUUUUAUAAAGGAAUAAAGUGAGGCACGUGUGCCUUUUUGUAUGUACUUUAUGAAUAAGGAUCGGCUAACUCCGUGCCAGCAGCCGCGGUAAUACGGAGGAUCCGAGCGUUAUCCGGAUUUAAUGGGGUUAAAGGGAGCGUAGAUGGGUUGUUAAGUCAGUUGUCUAAGUUUGCGGCUCAACCGUUCAAUGGCAAUUGCUACUGGCAGUCUUGAGUACAGUUGCGGUCGGCGGACUUCGUGUUGUAGCGGUGCACUGCUUAGAUAUCACG